This 97-nucleotide signal recognition particle RNA is filed under the name Thiotrichales bacterium. RNAcentral describes it as "signal recognition particle sRNA small type". It matches the Rfam family "Bacterial small signal recognition particle RNA". Rfam says of the family: The signal recognition particle (SRP) is a universally conserved ribonucleoprotein involved in the co-translational targeting of proteins to membranes. Lineage: Bacteria; Pseudomonadati; Pseudomonadota; Gammaproteobacteria; Thiotrichales. The record is from RNAcentral.
CGCUGGUCUCCUCGCAUCGUAAUGUUGUCAACCCCGUCAGGCCCGGAAGGGAGCAGCGGUCGCAGCGGACACGAGUGCCGGGGUAAGGCUGGUGCGG